CCAAUAGCGUAUAUUAAAGUUGUUGCAGUUAAAAAGCUCGUAGUUGAAUUUCGGAAUCAGUACGCUGGUCGUGCCUUCGGUAUGUACUGGUGUCACUGAUUCCUCCCUUCUGACGAACCGUCAUGCUAUUAAUUUAGUGUGGCGGGGAAUCAGGACUGUUACUUUGAAAAAAUUAGAGUGUUUAAAGCAGGCUCACGCUUGAAUACAUUAGCAUGGAAUAAUGAAAUAGGACGUUGAUCUUAUUUUGUUGGUUUCUAGGAUUGACGUAAUGAUUAAUAGGGAUAGUUGGGGGCAUUAGUAUUCAAUUGUCAGGGGUGAAAUUCUUGGAUUUAUUGAAGACUAACUACUGCGAAAGCAUUUGCCAAGGAUGUUUUCAUUAAUCAAGAACGAAAGUUAGGGGAUCGAAGACGAUCAGAUACCGCCGUAGUCUUUACCAUAAACUAUGCCGACUAGGGAUCGGAUGAAGUUAAUUUUUUUAAUGACUCAUUCGGCGCCUUACG
RNAcentral lists this ribosomal RNA (500 nucleotides) under uncultured Glomeromycotina. RNAcentral's name for it is "partial small subunit ribosomal RNA". It matches the Rfam family "Eukaryotic small subunit ribosomal RNA", at positions 591 to 1092 of the family's 1831-position model. Lineage: Eukaryota; Fungi; Glomeromycota. The record is from RNAcentral.